AAUCAGGCAUAUGAAAUCAUGCGUGGUUGCCUUUGCCUAGCCCUUGACGCUGACCCAGCAGAGCCUGACUGCAUGGUGCUCCAUCCCAUGAUUAUUGUUCGAGUCCGAGGAGUGCAGCAAGGCAGCUGAGAAAUGGAACUGGUCACAGAACAGUAAGGUCAGAAGGGACCACCAGUAGUCUUCUGGUCUAAUCUCCCUACUCAAGAAGAGUUAUUCUAGAGCAAAUGGCACAGGAUUGUGGUCCAGACAAGUCUUGAAUAUCUCCAGUGAGGGAGGCUACGCAUCUUCUCUGGGCAACCUGUUCCAGUGCAUGGUCACCUGCGCAGUGAAAAAGAUCUUCCUCCUGUGCAAGUGGAACUUCCUGUGCAAUCAAGUUUCUGCUUUCUUCUUUUGGGAGACACAACUAGUGACAGGUCCCAGCUAAACCCUGUGCCACUGACUAUGACCCUCUGGGGUGAGCCACUCUGCCAGUUCUCUCCAUCUCACCCUUGGCUCUUCCUGAGUUUGCCUAUGAGGAUAUUGAGGGAGGUGUAGCCUAAAGCCUUGCUGAAGUCCAGGUGGACAAUACGGGCUGUUCUCCCCUCAUUCACCCAGGCAGAUUUGCCAUUGUAGAAGGCAAUCAGGUUGCCAAGCAGGAUUUACCUAUAGUGAACCCAUGCACACUGCUCCUGACCACGUUUUUGUCUGCCAGCUCUCUCAGCAGUCGUGGGUGCAUCCUCUCCGGCUCCAUGGAGCUGCAGAUGCCAAGUUUGAUGAGUUGGUCUCUAACCCUAUCCUCCUUGACCACGGGAAAGCCUUCCUUCCAUCUCUGGUUUUCCCUGGACCUAGGCCAGAAAUUCCUGGGGGCUGGUCCUGUCAGUGAAGCCUGAUGCAAAAAAGGCAUUCAGUAUUUCUGUGUUCUUAUUCCACAUUCCUUCUUCCUCCAUAAGAGUACAAGGGCAAGGCCAGUUAUUUCCCCCUGAUAACAGAAACCUUGUGUUCAGCUGGUAUAAACUACUAUUGCUUCAUUAACAAUGGCAGUAGUAUGCCAGAUCAUUCACUGAGAUUCUUGGUCUAUAAUUAACUAAUUUUGGUAUCUCUUAAUGAAUGAACUGAAACCUAAGCAAAUACAGUGAAAUUAUAGCCUAUCUUUUUAUUUCAGACAGAGCAGCAUUAUUUCCUCUCUGCUUUACUGAUUGUAGUUUAAUGUUUCACUUAAAUUUACACUGGAAACAGAGGUCCAGGUCUGCCUUGUGUAGUCCUUGAAGUGAGUGGAAGAUGUACACCCAUGUCAGAAGAGAAAUAAUUCCCCAUGCUUACUUAAUAUGUGUGUACUGCAUUGUGGUGUUAUUUCCAGCAUGUGUUUCCUAGAAACAAAACACAAGGUAAAGCAUGGUCAGCAUGCAUUCUAAGAUGAAAUUAUAAUAUAUGACUGCCUAUGAA
Long non-coding RNA from Hirundo rustica (Barn swallow), 1422 nucleotides. RefSeq lists it as uncharacterized. NCBI's taxonomy places the organism in Eukaryota, Metazoa, Chordata, Aves, Passeriformes, Hirundinidae. The transcript has 2 exons. The record is from RefSeq and is a predicted model, not a curated record.